GGCAGGGACUCGCUGGACUGUGAGGAGAAGCAGUGUGUCCUCACCUUUCCACCUUCCUCUGGCCACAGCUUUAGCUGCUGAAUGAUAACAAGGCUGCCUGCCGAUCUCAUAAGAGGGCAUCUUGGGCAAGGCAAGGAGAAAGGGCUUUGGAGUCUUGAGUUCAAAUCCCGGCUCCCCCAGCUGCUGUGCAACCGUGAUGUAUGACAGCCUCUCUGGGCCUCAGUGUUUGUAUCUGCAAGAUGAGGCUCUGACAUAGACCUGAUUAGGUUAUGGUGAGGAUUACACAAUCCCUGCUUGAAAGGCACCUGGCUUGUUCUGAGUAAACCCUGUGACUCCCUUUAAUUCCUGGUGGGUGGCUUGCUUGUGCCCUCAUGAGGUUCAGCACUUGGCAGUACCCUGUCACCUGUUCAUCAUUAGCAAUGACGGACGCAAUGCUUCCUCUGUGACAAAGCCUCAUCCGACAGAGCAGGACUGCAGGGCUUCUCCAGGGCUUGGGGAGGGGGACAAGGGCAGUGCGCACAGUUCCUUUUUGUUUGCUGAUGCCACACUAGGCACGUGAAAGGGCUGGGUCAGAGAACCCAGCUUGGCCCACGCUGUCUCGGUUGGUGGCCGUCCUCACCUUCCUCACCCUUCAGAUCCCGUAGGGAGCCCCUGCGGUGGUGCCAUGGACGGGAAGCAUCCCACCGUGCUUGUGGCUCACCUCGAGGUCCAGGUGUCACUGCAUGGCCUGAAAAGGACUGUCUCCGAGCAGAACAAGCUCAUGACCAAGAACAAAGAGGACAUCUUGACCGUGUAAGUAAUGAUGACCGCUCUGUCCCCAGCUCAUAGGGACCCUGAGGACUCCAGGUUGCCUCCCUAUGUUGGCUCCUGAUUCAAGCAGAUGGCAGGGGGGUGUGUCCCAAGGAGCUGGGUGCUGAUGUCAGGAGCCCAGCACCCUUGUGGAAGCCAAGAACGACACUGAGGGGGCAAGAAGAGACUGUGAUGAGCUAAGUGAUGGUGUUGUCCCCAGCACGCAACAAGGGCUGGUGCGGCAACUGGCGACCUGAGAGGGAGGGCUGGUCCCAGCAGGGAGGUGUUCAUAGAAGGGAGAGAUUUUCGGUGAGGAGUGGCAGCACAGUCAUUCUCAACCCAGUGUGUCUUGGGAGAUGCCUAUGGGGUGGAAGUUGGAUGAUCAGGCUGUUAUUGGGUCAAUCUGAUUCAAGGAGAGGGAGGAGAGGUGACGUGGCCAGAAGGAGGGCAGGAGGGUGGACAGCAGAGAAUGCAGCCGGCCACCCGGGCCAUCCCCCUUGCCUCCACUCACUCAUCCUUUCCCACCCCUGGGCCGAGGAUGCGUCUCAUUAGGUAGUUUUCAGAUGGGUAAACUGAGGCAGGAGCCAUUCCAGGCCCAGAGAGGAGAGCCAGGAAGGCACGUGUUGUAAUCCCUGGGUUAGUUUUUCAUUCACACACAGGGGAACCUCUCCAGCCCUGCCACUCACUAGUUUUAAGAGGCUCAAGUGUUCUGAUUCCUGGCAGCAGCAACGUGGUAAUGCUUCUUUCUUGUUCCCUCCCUGAUCCCUUCUUCCCUCAUGCUUGAGGGCUUGGCCCCGCUUUUCUCCAUGUAUUUCCACCAGGGUGCCACACUGCCUGGAAUUGCAACCGCUGGGGCCUUGUCCAGUUUAUUAUCUCUCACCACAGGUGCAGGAAGGAGGCAGGGAGCAGGGCUGUGUCGCAGAGCAAGGCCAGGGCAUCCCACCCCACCAUGGCCGCCCAUCCCCAUGGCCUCCCUCAAGAUCAGGAAACUGCUCCACAUUGCAGUAACUAAGUGCACCAGGCGUGGCUGCUGGUGAGGGGUGGUCAGGCAGCACCUGUGGCCAGCCUAAAGGAAGGUCAAGGUUUGUGAAGGCAUCUGGUGCCUCCCCUGUUGAAAUUUCUUUUUCUCCUCCUUAUUAGUUGAAUCUUAAGAAUUGACAGUACCAUAAAACGUGAAACCUUUAUUUCUGCUUUUUAAAUGGAAAACCGGGCUGGGCACAGCGGCUCAUGCCUAUAAUCCCAGCACUUUGGGAGGCUGAGGUGGGCAGAUCGGCUGAGGUCAGGAGUUCAAGAUCAGCCUGGCCAACAUGGUGAAACCCCAUCUCUACUAAAAAUACAAAAAUUAGCCAGGCAUGGUGGCACAUGCCUGUAACCCCAGCUACUCAGGAGGCUGAGGCAGGAGAAUCGCUUAAACCCAGGAGGCGGAGGUUGCAGUGAGACGAGAUUGCGCCAUUGCACUCCAGCCUGGGUGGCAGAGUGAGACUCCACCUCAAAAAAAAGAAAAAAGGAAAACCAAGCAAAAGUCACUGUCAGGGGACCUCCCACCCACCAUACAGGGGAACACUCGGCAGAGCCAGAGGCCUGGGCCCAAGUCCUGCCACCAGCUGGCUGUGAAACUGUGGUACAGCACCUUGUGUCCUGCCACCAGCCGGCUGUGAAACUGGUACAGCACCUUGUCCUCAGGUCCUUGGUUUCCUCACUUGUAAAUUCAUGGUUCUCCAUGGCAUCUCUGGUCUUCAACAUUAUUUUGCAUAGAGUCUCAGAAGCUUUAGUGUGAGCGGAUGAUAUGGGCACGAAGCAAGGCACCCAGAAGUGGGGGCAACUACUCUGCUUUCUAAAAUGCAAGGGAACCGGAAAAUCCAGGAGCCGUGCCAAAUGAGAAGAGGAACAAAUGGAGGAACAUCCCAGUCAAGUGACAUUCCUAGUGACAUUCACCAGAACAGAGUCAAGCUUUGGAUCCCAUGUUCUGUGACUUCCUCUUCACCACGCUUCCUCCACACACGUAGCAGCUCAAGGGUUUCUGAUGAGUGGGAGGCUUGACUAGAAUUGAAUUCGAGACAAGCACAAAGAUCAUGAUGCAAAUGAAAGGGACAGAGGGGAGAGAAACAGAAAACAAGUCUAUGUUCCCUUUAUGAGCUGUAACGCACACCAUGAAGGUCUGCGGCUUGGCUAUUGAGUCAGUGAGAGCGUGAACCUACUAUUAGAAGAAAAACUCUGAAUACGUCUGAACGUCAGAAAGAACGAAGUUUGGACACAUUGUCUUUAAGAACUGUAACACUCACCCCAAGGGUUUAUGGAUUCAUUCUUGAAAUCAGUGAAACCAAAAGCUUUCCAAAGUUUAACACACAGGGAAAUGACUUACUGCAAAGAACCACUCUUCCCCACGAGACUUCGAGAAGACCCGCUGUCACGGACUGAGUUGUGUCCUCUUAAAAUUCAGAUGUUGGAGUCCAAACCCCCAGUAACUCAGAGUGUGAACGUAUUUGAAGAGGUCUUUAAAGAGGUGAUGAAGGUAAAAUGAAGUCACUAGGGUGGGCCCUAAUCCAACCUGACAGGUGUCCUCAUAAGUAGAGGAGAUGAGGACACAGACACAUGGAGGAAAGACCAUGUGGGGACACAGGGAGAAGAUGGCUGAGGGGAGAGGCCAGAGGAGAAACCAGCCCUGUCCAUGUGUUGACCUGGGACUUCCAGCCUCCAGCAUGGUGAGACGAUGCAUCUCUGGUUAAGCCCCAUCUGUGCAGUACUUUGUUAUGGCAGCCCUACUAGCACACCAGUAGGUCCAUUCAUAAAUGCCGUAUACUCGUUCUUGUGAUUUCCGUAACAGUCAUGGGUGACUGCCUUGUUUCCUGUGAUAAGGACACAGAGACCCUCCAAAUUACCAUUCUUUGUUUCUUAAAUGAUUAGCUGAACUAUUUGUCCCUCCAAACAAGCUAGAAACAGCUAGAUACUCCUUGUCCAGCUGAUUGACAGAUGCCUCCUGAUGACAUAAACAUGCCAACUGUAAAAUCACCCCCACCUGGAACUGGUUCACUCCUCCCUAUAAAAGUCUAGACAAAACCAACUGCCAGGACACUCAGGUUUUGGGAUCUGGGUGCUCUCCCGACUAUAAUAUAAUAACCUGAAUAAAGUCAGUUUGCUUACCGGCUUAGGUCUUUGUCUCUGACAAUUUGCCUCUGUGACGUGGAUGGGACUGGAAGUCCAUUUGGAGCCCUGUCUUCUCCACCUAGGGAGAGAGACCCCAUGAGCUCGUCAAGCUCCUUCUGUGACUGAUCAGAGAUCCCACCGUGAGUCCAGCUCCUGGUCCCAUGCUCUGGAUAUAUCGGUCCCUGGCAGCGUGAGUGCCUCUGUGUUCACUGUCCCAUUUGAGAAUUCUAAGUAGAAUUCUGAACAGGCUGGAGCAGAUUGCCCACCCCAAGGGACAGAUGUUGGCUGGUACUGUUGGUAUUCAUGGAAGAUUCCUUCUGACACUCCCUCCUUCUUUGUAAUUGCCAUGAACUGGAGCACUGGGCCAAUAUAAAUCAUCCAAGGGUGAACACGCUGCACAUGGACGGCUCCUCUUUGUUUUUGAAGGGAUUCCAUCUCUAUUUUGCCAUGUGCUCCUUCACCCCACUCCCCACCCCCGUCUUUCAUUUCUUUCUCUGGAAAAGAUACUUCAACUCACAGGACUGCGAUGUUGAAACGGACACCCAAGAGCAUCACAGAUGGGCCAGGCCUGGACCUCUCGGGACAACAUUCCUCACGACUUUUAGAUAGAAGAGAUUAGAGAUUUGGGACUGGUGGCAACUGGUAACGUUUUCAGUGUUUGGUAAACAGCCAGGGUCCGGAGCUCUGGGAACAGCCUGAUUUAGCUCUUUGUUUAAGUUUUGUGUUAGAGGCUCCCAAGAAGCUGAUGCAGGGGAAAGAAAUUAACAACCAUGGCUCAUUCACAGCCAGGCAGCCAAAUGGACAGCUCUAUAAGACUCAAGCCGACAGCGGAGAGAGUGCAACCAAACAGCCUUGGCCCAGCUUUCAGAGGAGAACGUUAUUCACCCCAACUGCUCUGCAUCUGCCUGGAUGUCUGCCAAGAUCUCAGUCUUCUUUCCACCAAUGACCCCUCGCGCUGCUUCCAGAAGCCAAGAAAGUGGGCUUUGUCCUUGGGGAUUUAGGAGGCGGAGCGGCGCCCCCUUGAGGCCACAUGGUGGAGGCAGCGAUGAGACCUGGAGUCUAAAAUUCAGACUGAAUCACAGGAAGAAGCUAUUUACACAAGUCAAACAUGGUCCAAUCUUGGCAAUUUCAUAAGGUUCCAAUCCUUAAGGGAUCAAAACCUGGCCAACUGCUUCCACCGAGAGGUGUGCCUUUCAAUGCCAGGCUUGGAGUGUCCCUCUUUAUUUAAAAAGGAGAGGAUUCCACAGCAGAGCUUCUCAAACUCUUCCACCCAAAUCCCCUCACCACAGAGGGACAGGAGUCCUGGGCAUGUAGCCUAAAGCAGCCAGGAGAAAAAAACCUUGACCUUAAUUUUUUUAAUGAUUUCACAUGAAUCAGUGGAAUGUGUUUAUGAUAAAAUCAUCUCCUCCUGAAAUACAUGUGUAAAACUGCUGCCCCAGUUAAACGCACUUAGUCUAACCAAGCCCUAGGAUUGGCCUCUCCAGCAUGAGAAGCAUUUCCAGCACUCCAGCUCCCCAGCUCCCACUCUGGGAUCCCACCUCAGACCCUCCCACUUCCUUGCACUCUGGCCUCUCGCUCUUGACCCUGCUCCCGCCACGCUCUUUCCUCAGAGUCCAUCAGUCCUGUCUUGUCUUCACCUUGGUCUCUGCCAAGUGUGGGUCCAAGUCAUAUAUUUGGGCUGUGAUCACAGGAACCCCAAGCCCCAGACCUCCCAAAGCACCCUAUGGAGAGACCUUACCCUCCUGGACAGACCCUCUCCCCCCAGCUAGACCUCAUCCUCUGGGUAGACCCAUCUCCCCAACCAGAACUCACCCUCCUGAGUAAACCCCAUCCCCCUAGCUAGACUUCAUCCUCCUGGACAGAUCCCAUCCCCCCAGCUAGACCUCACCCUCUUGGGUAGAUGCAUCUCCCCAACCAGAACUCUCCUGGGUAGACCCCUUCUACCCAGCUAGACCUGAUCCUCUGGACAGACCCCAUCAUCCCAGCUAGACUUCUCCCUCCUGGACUGUCCCCAUCCCCCCUCCAGCCAGACCUCACCCCUCUGGGUAGACCCCAUCCCCCCAACUAGACCUCACCCUCCUGGAUGGACUCUACCCUCCUGGAGAUACCUUCCCCUCCUGGGUACAUCCCACGUGGCUACACACUCCUUCCCCUGUCAGCUUUCUCCCCCAGGGUUCUGGGCAGCAGAGUCUGUGAUAAAGGAUACUAAGUGAUUCCCCAAUACUUCCCGUUUCCAGCCUCCAGUGGGCUCUCCCUGGGGCUAACGGUUCUUUUUGCUAUUUCUCCAGGCUUUGCCUGAUGACAAGUAUACUCUGAGAGUGUCCUAAUGAUACAGAUUUUGGACCCUAUCCCAGUUCUACUGAAUCCAAGUCUCUGGGGGAGGAGUUGGGGCUCUGCAUCUGGACACCUUCCUGCAGGGUCCCUCCUGGGAGGCAAGCCCGGGGAGCACCGCUGAGGCUCGCCUCAGUGCCCAUCCUAGACCUUCAGCAGCUAGCAGAGGAUGUCCCCACCAUCCCUCAGCCCACACUCCCACUGUCGCCCCAGCCAGGCUUGGCACUGCCUCCUUUCUCAGAAGAUUAAGACCAUCUGCUGUUUCCCAAGUUUCCCACCCUCCACCCUAAAAAUUUCUCCGUUUCCCAGUCUUUCCUCGUCUCUCAGAAAAUAAACAUCUUCCCAGGCUGCCUCCCCAGUGGGUCUGCACUCCUUGCUGUCUUCCCAGCACCUGCCCUUCCAGCCCGCCCUCUGUGUGUCCAGUGUUUCCCUCACCAAAGGACUCGCUUUGUUUUUCAAAUUGGAGGUUUUGUCUUCUCCCUAAAAACCAAAACAUCUCCCUGAGAAGUAACUCCCUCAAGCUACUGAUACGGAAGGGGGGCGGGGAAGUGCUGGGAAGGGAAGGGUGUGGUCCCUGGCUAGGGCUCCACCCCCGGGCCUGUGCCCACAGACCUAGGUGAGGACAGGCAUUUCUGUUUUCGUGCUUAAAUGUUGGAUUUCCCAAGACUACCCUGGCCUACCACACCCUCAUUCUGUGCCUGUAAAAAAACCUGAGAGCUUAGCAGGCACGCACACAAGCCUCUGGACGUCAAGAGGAACACACCGGUGUAAGAGCAGACUGAUAGUGGCCCACGGCAGGCUGGCAGGCCAUCGACAGGCAGAACCACUCAGUGCAGCUGGAGGACAGCCUGGCCACGGAGCGGUCCGACUUCAGAGGGGAAAACCACCUCCCCACUCCGUCUCCCUUCUGGCUCCCCCAUCUGAGAGCUACUUCCACUCAAUAAAACCUUGCACUCAUUCUCCAAGCCCAUGUGUGAUCUGAUUCUUUUGGUGCACGGAGGCAAGAAACCUCAGGAUACAGAAAGCCUCUGUCCUUGGAAUAAGGCAGGAGGUCUAACAGCUGACUAGGGAUGGCUCAACUGAAACAGCAUCCUGUAACACAGGCCCAUUGGGACCUCAGGAGCUGUAAACAUUCACCCUUAGACAUUGCUGUGGGGUUGGAGCCCCACCACCUGCCCAUCUGCAUGCUCCCCCUACAGGUUUGAGCAGCGGGGCACAGAAGAAGCCAGCCACACCUCCAUCGCAAGCCCUGCCACGGGGAUAAGGGAACUUUUCCCGUUUUGCCACCAGCUCAAGCCCCGCCUUCCUGUCACUCCACACUCUUCAUCUCUGUGUAUGGGUGUGGUCUUCCUCAGUUCCUUCUCUGGCCUCACACAGUGCCCUGAAUAAUGCUUUGCAAGGCCUUUGCCAGGAGCCUAGGUGAAAGGCAGAAGAGGUGCCCCUGCAGCAUCGCAAGGUAGAGAUCGUGGUUACAAGAUGGGGACUAGACUCCCAGUUUGCCCUUGGACUGGGCAGCCCCUUGGAUUUUGUUUUCCCUGACGUUGCUGUUCUGAUCCAAGGCCUUGUGGCCUCGCUACAGACACCCAAGGCCAGGCCUAUCUUUGCAUGAAUAACUAAAGAAAGCCUAGAGGAUGAGUAAAAUGACCACACUGUAUGGCUUUGGAGGACUGGAAGUUACUGAGGACUAUGAGUGGGUUUUUUGCAUAGACUGCAGUAAAGGUCCUCAGAAAAGACCCUCAAGAGCUAUGGGGGGGUCUGGUCAAAUGCCACUUCUAGACUGGACUCCAAAACUGGUGCUGAUUAUUUUCACUCCUACCCCACCCACCAGCCUGAUAGGCGAUUCCUGAAGUAGCAGUGGGGCGCUCAGUGGUGCUCACCAGGCCCAGAGCUCAGUCCUUCCCCCAUUCUGCCUGAUGGGGCUUGUGUAACCAAGGAUGACAGAUGGGACAAUCCCUGUUGGUAAAGACUGAGUUGAUUCUGACCAGGACCAGAGAUAAAACCCAGCACCUUUAUCUUUCCCCUUUGUACCUUCUUCAGAAAGACCUUCUUCUGCAGCAGUUCUGGAACUGUGAUCUGUGAGGUAUCUCACAGAAUCUCUGACCAAUGGAGAGCUAAUCAAAGACAAGUUUAAUAGGUGAAG
RNAcentral lists this long non-coding RNA (8404 nucleotides) under Homo sapiens (human). Its description in RNAcentral is "HSALNT0100691". Lineage: Eukaryota; Metazoa; Chordata; Mammalia; Primates; Hominidae. The record is from RNAcentral.